GUUUUCCAAUUGUACUAAGCCAUGCGAGUCAUUGUAGUAAUACAAGGCAGACGGCUCAGUAACGCGUAGUCAAUCUACCCUAUGGACGAGGAUAACCUCGGGAAACUGAGAAUAAUACUCGAUAGAACACUAUGCCUGGAAUGGUUUGUGUUUGAAAUGAUUUAUCGCCGUAGGAUGGGACUGCGGCCUAUCAGUUUGUUGGUGAGGUAAUGGCCCACCAAGACUAUUACAGGUACGGGCUCUGAGAGGAGUGGCCCGGAGAUGGGUACUGAGACACGGACCCAGGCCCUAUGGGGCGCAGCAGGCGAGAAAACUUUGCAAUGUGCGAAAGCACGACAAGGUUAAUCCGAGUGGUUUCUGCUAAAGGAACCUUUUGUCGGUCCUAGAAACACCGAUGAAUAAGGGGUGGGCAAGUUCUGGUGUCAGCCGCCGCGGUAAAACCAGCACCUCAAGUGGUCAGGAUGAUUAUUGGGCCUAAAGCAUCCGUAGCCGGCUCUGUAAGUUUUCGGUUAAAUCUGUACGCUUAACGUACAGGCUGCCGGGAAUACUGCAUAGCUAGGGAGUGGGAGAGGUAGACGGUACUCGGUAGGAAGGGGUAAAAUCCUUUGAUCUAUUGAUGACCACCUGUGGCGAAGGCGGUCUACCAGAACACGCCCGACGGUGAGGGAUGAAAGCUGGGGGAGCAAACCGGAUUAGAUACCCGGGUAGUCCCAGCUGUAAACUAUGCAAACUCAGUGAUGCAUUGGCUUGUGGCCAAUGCAGUGCUGCAGGGAAGCCGUUAAGUUUGCCGCCUGGGAAGUACGUACGCAAGUAUGAAACUUAAAGGAAUUGGCGGGGGAGCACCACAAGGGUGAAGCCUGCGGUUCAAUUGGAGUCAACGCCCGGG
RNAcentral lists this ribosomal RNA (886 nucleotides) under uncultured archaeon. RNAcentral's name for it is "bacterial SSU rRNA". It matches the Rfam family "Archaeal small subunit ribosomal RNA", at positions 29 to 923 of the family's 1478-position model. The record is from RNAcentral.